UUCAUGCUCUAAUACUCUGAAAUGCACUCUCAUCUCAUUUCUUCUGAGAGCUGCAUUCCAUAGGUUCCACCACCUUUUCCCUACCUCCUUUUUCUUCUUACACUCAUGUUAGAUAAACAAUUACCUUAAUGCUCUAGAGGUAAACACAUCUCUUUUCUUCUCCUUCCAUCUAUCAAAGGACGUGGCAGAUAUUUCUACUGAAAAUUACACAAAACAAUGGUCGUUUCAAAUUUAAAUCCACAAAGGGUGAGACUCACAAUGGUUGAAUAUGCCUCUCAAGUCCUAUUAUUACAGAAGAAUUUCAUGGUUCCCUAUAGAGGAAUUUUAAGCCAGCAAUAUGGCUGCUCAGGCAAGGAAUCACACCCAAAGAUAUGAUUCUGCCAGCAUGAAGAUACUCUCUGGAUUACAGUUUGUCACAUUUGCAUCUGAUGCUGCAUUCUGAAGCUCUUCCUGACAUCUCUCUUCGACUUCAACUUAAAGAAAUCUUCAACUUGUCUUUGGAAACCUUUAUAAAUUCAAGAGUUACUUUCUGUACUUAGAAAUUUUGCUUGCUCAACCAAAUGUCAUUUAAAAAUAAUAUUUUAUAGCUAAAACAACAAACAGAAUUAAAUCUCAUCUGGAUCUUAAAGCAGGAAGACACGCCUUUAGUCCAGAUCAUAUGACCUAGGAAAAGACACUUCUUUCAUCCUGAUGUUGAGUUGGGAAGGCACAGCUAUACUACAGAUCAUCUGAGUUUGGACAACCCACAUCUAAAUGGGCCACACUUUCUUCUGGAAGCCUGUAGAAGAACAGAAAAGAAGGACACCUUUGCCCUUUGCCUAUUUACCCCACCUUGCUAGUAAGUUCAUUCCUUCAGUGACUUUAGAACCUAUUUCUUUAGAAUUCCAGAGUACACCAAAGAUCAAAUGAGACAGCCAGCCUUAUGAACUGAGAAAUUACUCGAUUUUUAGGCCUUCCAUUGGAUUCGCUAGACUGCAGCCUGUAAGUCAUUCCAAUAA
Long non-coding RNA from Mus caroli (Ryukyu mouse), 998 nucleotides. RefSeq lists it as uncharacterized. Lineage: Eukaryota; Metazoa; Chordata; Mammalia; Rodentia; Muridae. The record is from RefSeq and is a predicted model, not a curated record.